This is a long non-coding RNA of Ictalurus punctatus (channel catfish), 1286 nucleotides long. RefSeq lists it as uncharacterized. The transcript has 3 exons. Lineage: Eukaryota; Metazoa; Chordata; Actinopteri; Siluriformes; Ictaluridae. The record is from RefSeq and is a predicted model, not a curated record.
AAUUACAUUAGCUAGCUUGUUUGUUAAAGUAGUUGGCUACGGGAUUUUAAUUCCAUGAUAUAUACUAGUUAGCCUGGUGUUAUCUAGCGUGUGAGUGGGCUUUAUUAGUUACUUAACACCAGAUCGCUACAGUCAGCUAAGCUAAGUAUUGCUGCUUUUAAUUAGAUGGCUAACUACACAGUGGAGUUCAAACCAUAGAUCCCAGUGGUGAUGUAAAAUGUUCUGAAUCGCAAUUGGCUAAUCCAAGCGCAAGCUCCUCCCCUUUUAAGCCAAUGAUGCCUGCUAUUUAGCAAAACGAGGACGUGUGAAAUGAAUGGUGUGUCGGUGACGUACAGUGAAGACAGCCCAGGACAGGGCCGAAUGUCCUCCUCCGUGCAGCAGCACCAACAGUGGACCAUCUUGUCCGCUCUUAUACACACGGAACACGUACACACACACACACACACACACACACACGCGCGCGCCUGUCAAGGAAUCAUACUGUGUUCUGCACGUAGACACAGGACAAACCAGAGGCUGUGCUAGCAAAACUACCAAACACUUUAGUGCGUGUGUGAGAAGGAUAUGUCCUUGCUUUCUGCUGAUCCCACCACCACGUCAUCCAUCAUCUCAAAGUAUUCACUCCAGGACACUGGGGAGUAAUCUCUCUUUCUGCCCACUCCAUGACUGAAGCAUGAGAGAGAGAGAGAGAGAGAGAGAGAAACAUCAACGACAGCUUUACAGAUUAUCAUCGUUUCUAUAGUAACAGCUCGUUCAUUUGAAAAGAUAAAAAAAAGCAUGUUUAAUUGAUAAUGAUAUGAAGAAGUUUUCUGUAAGGAGAUGUUUACUGAACGUUUAUGGAAAGACUCUCCAGCGUCAGCGCUUCAGAAUAGUCAGAGAUGGACAGAUGGAUGGAUAGACUGAUGAAAUAAUAGAUGGACCGAAGUAGAGAAUUCAGGGCGCAAUUGCACACGCUCACACACUAUGGAUGGACAAGUUGGAAAUCAGCCUACAACACUUGCAUGUAAUGCAAGCUCUGCGCACACAAAGUGGAGACGGGAAUCGAACCCUCAACCCUGGAGGUGCGAAGCAACAGUACUAAGCCACUGUGCCUAUUACACAUAUAAUAUUGAACUGAAUUGAAAUGAUUACAUCAGCAAAUUAUAUAACUAUAUGUGAGCACCUGGUCACCUGUCAGACAGAUAUAGACGCACUCACACACACAGGAAGGUUUAUAGAUGGAUAGAUACAGAUUGACGCUUAGACAAAUUGAUCUGAAAACAGACAGAUGAAUAAACACACAGACA